GAUGAACGCUGGCGGCGUGCCUAAUACAUGCAAGUCGAGCGAACGGACGAGAAGCUUGCUUCUCUGAUGUUAGCGGCGGACGGGUGAGUAACACGUGUAUAACCUACCUAUCAGACUGGGAUCACUUCGGGAAACCGGAGCUAAUACCGGAUAAUAUUUUGAACCGCAUUGUUCAAAAGUGAAAGACGGUGUUGCUGUCACUUAUAGAUGGUUCCGCGCUGCAUUAGCUAGUUGGUAAGGUAACGGCUUACCAAGGCAACGAUGCAUAGCCGACCGGAGAGGGUGAUAGGCCACACUGGAACUGAAACAGGGUCCAGACUACUACGGGAGGCAGCAGUAGGGAAUCUUCCGCAGUGGGCGGAAGCCUGACAGAGCAGCGCCGCGUGAGUGAUGAAGGUCUUCGGAUCGUAAAACUCUGUUAUUAGGGAAGAACAUAUGUGUAAGUAACUGUGCACAUCUUGACGGUACCUAAUCAGAAAGCCACGGCUAACUACGUG
This 497-nucleotide ribosomal RNA is filed under the name uncultured bacterium. RNAcentral describes it as "partial 16S ribosomal RNA". It matches the Rfam family "Bacterial small subunit ribosomal RNA", at positions 28 to 507 of the family's 1533-position model. The record is from RNAcentral.